GAAAGGGUUGCUCAACUCUUCCGAUGUCAAUCAAACAUAUACUUAGUUGCUUAUUUAAUUGAAAUCUGCUGCUCCUUGAUAAAGACUAUGAAAGUAACAACAAAAUCACUUCAGAAACUGUGGAUAAAAUGGUUUCUGAUUCCAAAUGCUCUGCCCCUAUCCACCAGUGGUAUAAUUCCUUUGUAGAAGGAUACCAAGUCAGUCAGACAUGAUUUGCCCAUAGUGGAGCCAUGUUGCCAGUCACCAGUCACCUCUCUGUUUUCCAUGUGCCUUAGCACUUUCUAGGAGGAUCAGCCCGGGAAGAGAGGUGAAAUUGAGUGGCCUGUAGUUUUCUGGGAUUCCUACUUUCUCUUUUUAAGAAUGGAGUUUAUGUUUCAGCUUUUCCUGUCACUGGAACAAUGGUUGUGCUCUUGUGAUUAGAGUGUUUCAGCAGAACAGCAAGCAAUGAUGCCUCUAUCUUACCAUGGUUUCCUACUAACAGGUGAGCAGUGUAGGAGAGACAUAUGGAGUGUCCUUAGAGGCAGGUUAUUCAUGCCUCUUCUUCAGACUGCUGGCACACUCCCUUCAGUAUGCCUCAUCUCACAAACCUAGGUAAGUAGGAAACCUAACCUGAUUCUAAAUGCAGAUAUUACAGAUGGCAUAUUUGUUUGGAAGAGUCUUUC
This 662-nucleotide long non-coding RNA is filed under the name Anas platyrhynchos platyrhynchos (common mallard). Its description in RNAcentral is "lncRNA (ENSAPLG00000025802.1)". Lineage: Eukaryota; Metazoa; Chordata; Aves; Anseriformes; Anatidae. The record is from RNAcentral.